GGGCGUAAAGAGCUCGUAGGUGGUUUGUCGCGUUGUUCGUGAAAUCUCACGGCUUAACUGUGAGCGUGCGGGCGAUACGGGCAGACUUGAGUACUGCAGGGGAGACUGGAAUUCCUGGUGUAGCGGUGGAAUGCGCAGAUAUCAGGAGGAACACCGGUGGCGAAGGCGGGUCUCUGGGCAGUAACUGACGCUGAGGAGCGAAAGCGUGGGGAGCGAACAGGAUUAGAUACCCUGGUAGUCCACGCCGUAAACGGUGGGUACUAGGUGUGGUUUCCUUCCUUGGGAUCCGUGCCGUAGCUAACGCAUUAAGUACCCCGCCUGGGGAGUACGGCCGCAAGGCUAAAACUCAAAGAAAUUGACGGGGGCCCGCACAAGCGGCGGAGCAUGUGGAUUAAUUCGAUGCAACGCGAAGAACCUUACCUGGGUUUGACAUGCACAGGACGCCGGCAGAGAUGUCGGUUCCCUUGUGGCCUGUGUGCAGGUGGUGCAUGGCUGUCGUCAGCUCGUGUCGUGAGAUGUUGGGUUAAGUCCCGCAACGAGCGCAACCCUUGUCUCAUGUUGCCAGCGGGUAAUGCCGGGGACUCGUGAGAGACUGCCGGGGUCAACUCGGAGGAAGGUGGGGAUGACGUCAAGUCAUCAUGCCCCUUAUGUCCAGGGCUUCACACAUGCUACAAUGGCCGGUACAAAGGGCUGCGAUGCCGCGAGGUUAAGCGAAUCCUUUUAAAGCCGGUCUCAGUUCGGAUCGGGGUCUGCAACUCGACCCCGUGAAGUCGGAGUCGCUAGUUAUCGCAGAU
RNAcentral lists this ribosomal RNA (794 nucleotides) under uncultured Mycobacterium sp. RNAcentral describes it as "bacterial SSU rRNA". It matches the Rfam family "Bacterial small subunit ribosomal RNA", at positions 556 to 1349 of the family's 1533-position model. Lineage: Bacteria; Bacillati; Actinomycetota; Actinomycetes; Mycobacteriales; Mycobacteriaceae. The record is from RNAcentral.